GAUGAACGCUGGCGGCGUGCCUAAUACAUGCAAGUCGAGCGAACGGACGAGAAGCUUGCUUCUCUGAUGUUAGCGGCGGACGGGUGAGUAACACGUGGAUAACCUACCUAUAAGACUGUGAUCACUUCGGGAAACCGGAGCUAAUACCGGAUAAUAUUUUGAACCGCAUGGUUCAAAAGUGAAAGACGGUCUUGCUGUCACUUAUAGAUGGAUCCGCGCUGCAUUAGCUAGUUGGUAAGGUAACGGCUUACCAAGGCAACGAUGCAUAGCAGACCUGAGAGGGAGACCGGCCACACUGGAACUGAGACACGGUCCAGACUCCUACGGGAGGCAGCAGUAGGGAAUCUUCCGCAAAGGGCGAAAGCCUGACGGAGCAACGCCGCGUGAGUGAUGAAGGUCUUCGGAUCGUAAAACUCUUUUAUUAGGGAAGAACAUAUGUGUAAUUAACUGUGCACAUCUUGACGGUACCUUAACAGAAAGCCACGGCUAACUACGUG
RNAcentral lists this ribosomal RNA (497 nucleotides) under uncultured bacterium. RNAcentral's name for it is "partial 16S ribosomal RNA". It matches the Rfam family "Bacterial small subunit ribosomal RNA", at positions 28 to 507 of the family's 1533-position model. The record is from RNAcentral.